Molecule: ribosomal RNA, 416 nt
Filed under: uncultured bacterium
Lineage: Bacteria
Description: bacterial SSU rRNA
Rfam family: Bacterial small subunit ribosomal RNA
Source: RNAcentral
GAGUUUGAUCUUGGCUCAGGACGAACGCUGGCUGCGUGCUUAACACAUGCAAGUCGAACGCUGAAGCCUGGUGCUUGCACCGGGUGGAUGAGUGGCGAACGGGUGAGUAACACGUGAGUAACCUGCCCCUGACUUCGGGAUAAGCCCGGGAAACUGGGUCUAAUACCGGAUACGACCGUCGGACGCAUGUCUGGUGGUGGAAAGUUUUUUCGGUUGGGGAUGGGCUCGCGGCCUAUCAGUUUGUUGGUGAGGUAAUGGCUCACCAAGACGACGACGGGUAGCCGGCCUGAGAGGGCGACCGGCCACACUGGGACUGAGACACGGCCCAGACUCCUACGGGAGGCAGCAGUGGGGAAUAUUGCACAAUGGGGGAAACCCUGAUGCAGCGACGCAGCGUGCGGGAUGACGGCCUUCGG